UACGUAGGGUGCAAGCGUUAAUCGGAAUCACUGGGCGUAAAGGGCGCGUAGGCGGCCGCUCAAGUCGGGGGUGAAAGCCUGUGGCUUAACCACAGAAUUGCCUUCGAUACUGUUUGGCUUGAGACCGGAAGAGGUGAGUGGAACUGCGAGUGUAGAGGUGAAAUUCGUAGAUAUUCGCAAGAACACCAGUGGCGAAGGCGGCUCACUGGUCCGGUUCUGACGCUGAGGCGCGAAAGCGUGGGGAGCAAACAGG
RNAcentral lists this ribosomal RNA (253 nucleotides) under uncultured bacterium. Its description in RNAcentral is "partial 16S ribosomal RNA". It matches the Rfam family "Bacterial small subunit ribosomal RNA", at positions 524 to 776 of the family's 1533-position model. The record is from RNAcentral.